RNAcentral lists this ribosomal RNA (684 nucleotides) under Citrobacter freundii. RNAcentral's name for it is "bacterial SSU rRNA". It matches the Rfam family "Bacterial small subunit ribosomal RNA", at positions 270 to 946 of the family's 1533-position model. The record is from RNAcentral. Lineage: Bacteria; Pseudomonadati; Pseudomonadota; Gammaproteobacteria; Enterobacterales; Enterobacteriaceae.
AAGGCGACGAUCCCUAACUGGUCUGAGAGGAUGACCAGCCACACUGGAACUGAGACACGGUCCAGACUCCUACGGGAGGCAGCAGUGGGGAAUAUUGCACAAUGGGCGCAAGCCUGAUGCAGCCAUGCCGCGUGUAUGAAGAAGGCCUUCGGGUUGUAAAGUACUUUCAGCGAGGAGGAAGGCGUUGUGGUUAAUAACCGCAGCGAUUGACGUUACUCGCAGAAGAAGCACCGGCUAACUCCGUGCCAGCAGCCGCGGUAAUACAGAGGGUGCAAGCGUUAAUCGGAAUUACUGGGCGUAAAGCGCACGCAGGCGGUCUGUCAAGUCGGAUGUGAAAUCCCCGGGCUCAACCUGGGAACUGCAUCCGAAACUGGCAGGCUAGAGUCUUGUAGAGGGGGGUAGAAUUCCCGGUGUAGCGGUGAAAUGCGUAGAGAUCUGGAGGAAUACCGGUGGCGAAGGCGGCCCCCUGGACAAAGACUGACGCUCAGGUGCGAAAGCGUGGGGAGCAAACAGGAUUAGAUACCCUGGUAGUCCACGCCGUAUACGAUGUCGACUUGGAGGUUGUGCCCUUGAGGCGUGNCUUCCGGAGCUAACGCGUUAAGUCGACCGCCUGGGGAGUACGGCCGCGAGGUUAAAACUCAGAUGAAUUGACGGGGGCCCGCACAAGCGGUGGAGCAUGUGGUU